This is a long non-coding RNA of Anneissia japonica, 1300 nucleotides long. RefSeq lists it as uncharacterized. The record is from RefSeq and is a predicted model, not a curated record. The transcript has 2 exons. NCBI's taxonomy places the organism in Eukaryota, Metazoa, Echinodermata, Crinoidea, Comatulida, Comatulidae.
CUUAUUUUUCGGCCGAUUUCAGACUCAAAAUGUUCUUAUUUUGUUCUUAUUUUUACAUACUUUUCAAAUAUAGAAAAUCAUAUCGUACAGCAGUAUACACACAGUACUGGAAUGAAGUUAAAAGUGGCCCUGGAAAAAUGGCAACUGAAAAAAAGGCCCCGAAAAAAGGCCCUGGUAAAAAUGACUCCAAACGACUGAAGUUGCAAACGGGAAAGGAGAGGAGAGAAGCUGAACUUUAUAAGCACGAAGACCUCCGAGCUCUUGUGAUGCAUGGUCGAUCGGUCGCGGAUGCACUGACAAAUGGACCACACAACUGAGAGGAUACCUUCGCUUCUUAAAGCCAGGCUCCGGAGGAAAAUUUUAUUUUUAUACCAAAUCCAAUUAAGCAGUCUACAAGCCUUGCAACAUUAAAAUUUAAUCUUAAGUAGGCCUAUUCUCUGUCAAAUAUCAUCCUUUAUUCUAAUGACUGGUGAAGUGCUAAAUGAAUAAUUCAUUUGGAUUCAAUCAAUCCAGUGGCGAAUCCCCACUGGAUUAAUUGACAAAACCUGAAAGUAACCAUCUUAACGAUUAGUUUCAGAAAUUGAAUUGAAAUUCUCUACUUUCGAUGGCAUCUGUAUUUAUAGGCUCUCUAGUGAACAUUGUGCCAAUAAAAAAUGGCGUCAGUCUUAGUGUGCAAUACCCACAUAAAACAUUCUGUUAGGCAUUCACAAUAAAAAUCACUUUCAGGAACAGAAAUUCCAGGAGAACUCUAUAGCUAUAUUAUCAUCACCAUGGCUUUCAUCACAGUUUGGAGUUGGAUUUAUAAAGGAAAAUUGAAAUGAUAGGGUCGUUUAUAAGACUGCAGGGAUAAUUAUUUAUGUCACGUGUGCUAAUGAAGGAAUUCUUUUAGUGGAUGGAUAUACCGUUUGAUUAUUAAUCUUCAGAAUUUUGAUAAAGUUUAAGGCCAACAUAAGGCAGGUGGGCAUUUUGCACGACCACAAGUCAAAACCUUUUAACAGCUUAUUACGCCAAUGUCAAGAUGAUAUCAUCGAGGGAUCAGCUGUGCUAUUAAUACUAUCGACCGAUUCUAUUGCAUUAAUUGUUUCGUUCUCGCCAAUGAUUCCUUUACUCAUUAAUUUGUUAGUAGUUUGCGAGGUUAGGUAACGAUCCUCAUAAUCUUUAAAGAGGUAAUCGUUAUGCAUGUCCUGAAAAGUUGUCUUCCUUGAAGGACAAACACAAUGAUAACGAUAAAAUUUCGAUUAGAUUUAUACCGGUGUUAUUAUCGAUUAUACGAAUACAAUAAAAAGGAGGAGAAAGAAUA